This 72-nucleotide transfer RNA is filed under the name Myxococcales bacterium. RNAcentral describes it as "tRNA-Pro". It matches the Rfam family "tRNA". Rfam says of the family: Transfer RNA (tRNA) molecules are approximately 80 nucleotides in length. Their secondary structure includes four short double-helical elements and three loops (D, anti-codon, and T loops). The record is from RNAcentral. RNAcentral also lists the same sequence under 3 other names. Lineage: Bacteria; Pseudomonadati; Myxococcota; Myxococcia; Myxococcales.
CGGAGUGUAGCGUAGUGGCCACGCACUGGUUUCGGGAACCAGACCACGGAGGUUCGAUUCCUCCCUCUCCGA